AAGGAUGCAACUAUGCAUUUAAACAAAAAUUUUAUAUUUUUGAUUUUUUUCUCUAAAUCAAUGUGUUAACUAAAUCCCUUAAUGCAUGGUUCUAGAGUAAUUAACUAGAUCCUGAACUUAGGACAUUGGAAACUGCGAGAGUAGAUUCUUUGCCUGAUAAUAUUCUGAUUAAGUUAAGUUUGUUAGAAACAUGUGAGAGCUGAUCAACCAUUCUUAAUGGUAAUCAACUCACCACAACCAUCGAUCGACAUCGUCAGUCGAGCGUCGAUCGACAUCGACACUGGAUCGUCGAUCGAUAGUGUUAUAAAGUGAGCGGUUGAGUCCUAGCGUAUCAGCUCGCCUAAACAUCCUAUCUUGUGGAUUCGAUCCCUAAGUACUACGAUUGAACCUGUUAUUUGAGAGAGUAAAAUCAUUCCUUAAGGAUAAUUUGAGUAAUAUCAAUAAGAUAACUAAGAUGGAAUGGUUGAUAAAUCUUGAGACGAUCGAGAUUGUAUCAUAUUAAAGAGAUUAACACGUUCAAAACUUGUGUUAUUAUCAAUAUAUUUCCACAAUAAGGUUCCAAAUGGGGAUGAUUGUGAAUAAAUAUUAAUUUUUCGAAAAUAUGUAACUCUAAAUUAUUACAUUAAAGAUUGCAAGAUUUGUUUUAGUUAUAUAAUUUUUAAUAUCAAUUACUAUAUGUUUGGUAUCUUACUUUUUUUUUAUAAUAAAUAAUUAUCUAUUAUUUUAUUUUGAAAAACUUGGUGUGAACAUAUUUACAUUUCAUAUGUUAUUGUGAAAUUUGUCUUGUCUGUGUUUGCUAUUAUAAGAGAAAAUCAUAAUGUAUAUUUUUAUGAAAGAUUGGAAUAACCAUAAGAAUAUAUUAUAAUAAAUAUAUUGGACAUUAUUUUCUUGAUAUAUUACAAAAGUAAUAAUUAAUUAAAAAUUAAAUUUAUAAAAUGAAAUAAACCUCUGACAAAAAACUGAUAACUAAUGUUCAUAACUAGUUGUUAUCUAGCCAUGAAGGAAUUUAAUGUAAACACACAACUUUACAAAACAAUUAAUAUAAAUAACUGAAUAAAGUAAAUAUAUUUAGCUGAAUUAUAUAUAGACUAAAAUUAGUCAAAACAUUUAGUCCAUAAUAACAAUUUUAAUUUAUAUCUAUUACAUUUUGAAAAAUAUGUUUCAAUAUACAAAUUAUAUCUUGACAAGGCAAUCUGAAAGAAAAUAAAACUUUCACACUAAUAUUCAUAUGCUUAGGUAAAUGAAUCAUGCACUUUUAUAUUAUUUUGACUAUAAUCUCAGAAAAUCAUUGAAAGAUUUUCUUUACAAAAAUAUAACUAAUGCAAGUUUAUGUUUAUAUGUAGAUUAACAUGCUUAGGUAAAUGAAUCAUGCACUUUUAUAUUAUUUUAACUAUAAUCUCAGAAAAUUAAUUGAAAAUUUUUCUUUACAAAAAUAUAACUAAUGCAAGUUUAUGUUUAUAUGCUUAGGUAAAUGAAUCAUGCACUUUUAUAUUGUUUUGACUAUAAUCUCAGAAAAUUAAUUAAAAGGUUUUCCUUACAAAAACAUAAUUAAUGCAUGUUUAUGUUUAUAUGCUUAGAUAAAUGAAUCAUGCACUUUUAUAUUAUUUUGACUAUAAUCUCAGAAAAAUAAUUGAAAGAUUUUCUUUACAAAAAUAUAAUUAAUGCAAGUUUAUGUUUAUAUGCUUAGGUAAAUGAAUCAGACACUUUUAUAUUAUUUUGACUAUAAUCUCAGAAAAUUAAUUGAAAGAUUUUCUUUAGAGAAAUAUAAUUAACACAAGUUUAUGUUUUUAUGUAGAUUGAUAUGCUUAGGUAAAUGAAUCAUGCAAUUUUAUAUUAUUUUAACUCUAAUCUCAGAAAAUUAAUUGAAAUAUUUUCUUACAAAAAUAUAAAUAAUGCAAGUUUAUGUUUAUAUGCUUAGGUAAAUGAAUCAUGCACUUUUAUAUUAUUUUGACUAUAAUCUCAUAAAAUUAAUUGAAAGAUUUCCUUACAAAAAUAUAAUUAAUGCAAGUUUAUGUUUAUAUGCUUAGGUAAAUAAAUCAUGUACUUUUAUGUUAUUUUGACUAUAAUCUCAAAAAAUUAAUUGAAAGAUUUUCUUUACAAAAAUAUAAUUAAUGCAAUUUUAUGUAUAUAUGUAUAUAUAUAUCAAUCUAAAAUAUAAUAGAACUCUCAAACAAUUUAUAAAACAUCCUACAAAAUGAGUCUCUCCAAAAAAUAUAUAUUAAUCGCAUUUGUUUUCACUAUUUUCUUCGCGAUGUCAAUUGUUCGCUGCACCGAUAUUGUUUCAGAUUUCGGAAUAAAGUAUAAUAUGUGCUAUGGUCCAUGUGACGACAAAGGAGUGUGUGAGCCGUUUUGUUCUGCCAAAAAAGGUCUGAAAAGGGGAGACUGUGUUGGCAAAGCAAAAGAUUAUCUUGGCGUUUGUUGUUGUGAUGAACACUAAAUAAAAUAUUAAAUAAUACGUUAGAUAUUAUAUCUUGUAUGAAAUGAAAUAAUAUUACCAAUAAUACAUAAAAUGCUUUUACAAAAAAAAUAUAAAAUGUUAUCAAAUUGAAGUUACUUUGAUUAACCUCGAGAAAACAUUAGUCAAAGUGCAUGUCUUUUCUAAAAAAACAUUGAUAAAAGUAUAGUAAAUAUUAAUAAUGUAAAUAUGUAAUCCCACAUGACAUAGAACUGUAAAAUAUGGAAGGGAAAACACGUGAAGAACAAUUAACGUUACAUAUAUAUGUCAUGCAAAAAUAAAUAAAGUGAAAGGAAACUAAUAAAAAAAUGGUAAAUGUAAUUAAGUGAAAAAUAUAAAUAUUAAUUUAAAAAUAAAAUAUUCAUUUUUUUCCUUUGUACAUAUAUUCAUUUUUUAAAAAGGAAACUAAUAUAAGUGAAUGUAAAUGUAAUUAAGUGAAAAAUAAAAAUAAUCAUUUAAAAAUAAAAUAUUCAUUUUUUUCCUUUGUACAUAUAUAUUCCUUUUUUUCUGUUACCAAAAUAAAUAUUCAUUUUUUCUCAACAUAUAAAUAAAUCCUAUGAACGGAAAUGUCUCAUAAACCCUACAUAGUAGAAGCUCUGCAAAUGCAUUCAGUCCAUGUUGUCAUGCAGCUUUUAUUGGGCCGAAUUUCUGUCACUAUUCUGAUAUACUCUAUUCUUCACUUUGAUAUUUUUUUUUUUGAAACUAUUCAUUUUGAUAACUUUUGAGUCGACAUAAUGAAUCAUGAGAAUAAACCUCUCUAAGACGAAAUUCCACUUCGACAAUACAUAUCUCCACAACCUUAAGCAGAAGAACAACAUAGUACAUAUGUUAAAUUCACAUUUGGGUAAAAAUAUUGAUAGGUUUCGCCGAUGGAUCAUGUCUUCAUCGUCAAUCUAGCUGUUGCGACUAGGCAUUUACUUGGAUGAAUUUAUGUGAUAAAUCAUGCUCCAGGUAGUUAAAAACUUUUUAUUCUUAGUUCAGGUAUUAAAAUUCAAAUUUGUUAUAAGUUCAGGUAUCGGAUUGCAUCAUUUGUUUCGUUCAAACUAAAAUGAUUCAGUUACGAACUGUUUCAUGCCACCAUUUUACGGACAUGAUGACGGUUGUAUGUAUUUAAAUGUCUUUUAUUCUAAGUUGAUGUAUUAAAUUUAAAUUCGUUAUUAGUCCAAAUAUCAGAUCAGACAAUUAAAUAGUUUAUAUAUUGAUUAGGCGAUAUGGCCUAGUUCGUGCACUAAUUCACCAUUUUUCCUAGUUUCAUCUCUUGAUUGAAUUAUUACAACUAUUCUUAUGGAUUUGAGUGAGUAGAUCGAGAGAAACAAUGAUUUAAAUAAAAUUUAUUAAAGUUUAAUGAUAUUAUAGGUGUUGAUAAUCAAUGGACAUAUAUACGUGAGAGAGAUUUCAAGAAGUCGAAAGAAAAUAAAAAAUUGUAAGAUGACAAGAAUGAUAUAUAUAAGUUUACAAAAAAAAAGAAUGAUAUAUACAUAUAUAUAUAUGUGGAAGGGAAAACACAUGAAGAACAUGCAAAAUUAACGUUACAUAUAUAUGUCUCAUGCAAAAAUAAAUGAAGUGAAAAAAUAAAACUAAUAAGUGAAUGUAAAUGUAAUUAAGUGAAAAUAUUCAUUUUUUCUAGACAUAUAAAUAAGCCGUAUGACGGAAACGUCUCAUAAACCCUACUACAUAGUAGAUAUGAGGCGGAUGAAGCAUUAGCUUCACGGCCAAUUACAAUAAAUAUUAUUUUGGGGAAAAAUUAUGUGAAAGGUGUUUAGAAAUUUUAAAACAACAUUAAAGAUCAUGGGCUUCACUAUAUAGAGCAUUUACCGAAAAAAUCAAUAUUUUCGUAUGGGUUAACACGUAGAUUUUGAAAAAAAUAAAAUAAAAAAAAGGAAAAUAUUAUUUUAUUGCAUAGUUGCAUCAUGCACUAACAUACGAUGAAGGUAAAAUAGAUUUGGAACCUUUGUUGUCUCCGUUUUUCUAGAGAAUAUCGAUUUUAUAGUGGUUACUCCACUAAUUUAGGGUGUAUUGUAAAGUUUUACUUAAUUAAUUGAUAAAAAUUUAAAACGAUGUGCAUCUACCAUGAAAGAGAGUUUAAUAUACAUUAACAAAAAUGUAGAAUGUGUUUAAAAAUUUUAAAACAACAUUAAAGAUCAUAGGCUUCAGUAUAGAGCAUUUACCGAAAAAUUAAUAUUUUCGUAUGGGUUAACACAUAGAUUUUGAGAAAAAAUUCAAAAAUAUGACAAUACUAUUUUAAUGCAUAGUUGCAUCAUGCACUAACAUAUGAUGAAGUUUAAAAAUGUUUGGAACCUUUGUUAUCUCCGUUUAUCUAGAGAAUAGAGAUUUUAUAGUGGUUUGUCCACUACUUUAGGGAGUAUUAUGAGAUUUACUAAAUUAAUUGAUAAAAAUUAAAACGAUGUCCAUGUAACAUGAAAUAUAGUUGAAUAUACAUUACUACAAAUGUAUAACAUGA
Molecule: long non-coding RNA, 4916 nt
Organism: Brassica rapa (field mustard)
Lineage: Eukaryota; Viridiplantae; Streptophyta; Magnoliopsida; Brassicales; Brassicaceae
Source: RefSeq, a predicted model, not a curated record